This 253-nucleotide ribosomal RNA is filed under the name uncultured bacterium. RNAcentral describes it as "partial 16S ribosomal RNA". It matches the Rfam family "Bacterial small subunit ribosomal RNA", at positions 524 to 776 of the family's 1533-position model. The record is from RNAcentral.
UACGAGGGGGGCGAGCGUUGUUCGGAAUUACUGGGCGUAAAGCGUGCGCAGGCGGUUUGCUAAGACCGAUGUGAAAUCCCCGGGCUUAACCUGGGAACUGCAUUGGUGACUGGCAAGCUAGAGUGUGGCAGAGGGGGGUAGAAUUCCACGUGUAGCAGUGAAAUGCGUAGAGAUGUGGAGGAAUACCGAUGGCGAAGGCAGCCCCGUGGGCCAACACUGACGCUCAUGCACGAAAGCGUGGGGAGCAAACAGG